Molecule: long non-coding RNA, 380 nt
Filed under: Daucus carota (carrot)
Lineage: Eukaryota; Viridiplantae; Streptophyta; Magnoliopsida; Apiales; Apiaceae
Description: long non-coding RNA (DCAR_LNC002953)
Source: RNAcentral
AAAGAUAAUGAAUCCAAAUAAUUUAAAACUUGAAAACAUUUAAUAAAAGAUUUGAAAGACGUUAAAUAAAAGAUUUAAAAGAGAACAUCUUCACCCCCAAAACAACAGGAUCGCUUCCAGGUUACAGUAUUGAAAUUAGAAUCAACCACUAUUAUUACACAACAUCUCUUACCAAAUCAGAUCAUCUUCGAUAAGAAGAAUCACUGUCAACUAUUCCAGCUAUGACUUACACUUGAAUCCUUAUAGCACAGCUCUAGCUUGCACCAACCUCAUCAACUUUCCUGAACACUCCUCGACCACUGGAUCCUCAACUCUGUCUCCUCGCCUAGCAUUAGCCUUAUUCACAAUCUCAAUCAAUCAUCUCAUCUUUAAGCCUUUCU